RNAcentral lists this long non-coding RNA (1286 nucleotides) under Podarcis muralis (Common wall lizard). Its description in RNAcentral is "lncRNA (ENSPMRG00000023854.1)". Lineage: Eukaryota; Metazoa; Chordata; Lepidosauria; Squamata; Lacertidae. The record is from RNAcentral.
AUGACUCCCCCCCCCCCAUCCCAGAGUCGACCCACCAUGAAUGGAAGUGGGGGGGAGAGCCUCCCCUUUGUCCCCUCGAGCUGCAAAGGGCCCCAGAGCAGCAGGAGGGGGGAAGUCCAGGAAGAGACGCCCCCCCCCCCCACUAAUCCAACACGCCCUCAGCUCCACGGGAAAACCCACCACACGCGCAGAGGUGGAUUUGGAGUGAGCCAAGCUCCCGGCCCGCCCACCCCUCUGGGUAAGAAUGGAACAGCCCACCUUUCCCUCAGGGAAGGCCUCGAGGCCUGGCUCUCCUCUCGCCCUCAGCAUGGAGGGGCCCCGCCACUGCCGAGGGGGGUCCACGAAGGGCCGGGCGCCCCCUCCCCACAAGCCCAGCCUCCGCUCCCUCCUCCCUUCAAUUUACCUCAGCGCUCCUUUCGGGGCCUCGUGCCGCCGCCGAGCCCCGCGCGCCGCCCCGUGGCAAGCGCAUAGGGCGAUCCCAGGCCCGGCGCCAUCUUGACACCGGAACGAGGCUCGGCCGCAGAGGCUCCGCCCCUUUUCCUCUCAUGGGACGUCGUGACGUCACGGGGGAAAAGGGCCGCCCGCAUAGGGUUUUUUCAAUGGCGCCGCCAUCUUGGGACGAAAGCGAGGCUGGGCUCCUCCCACCUCGGGGUGGGAGGGGUCGAAUGGAGCGAGGAUUCUAUUUCAGGCUCAAGGAGCAAAGCGGGUUUUUUCCCACCGCUGGUUAGGCAGCGGGUAUCUCUGCCUGUUUUAGGACAGCAGUAUCCCACCCGCUCCAAAGCUGUCCCCCCCCCGACAUCGUUUAAUGUAUUUUUAAUGGCUGGGGAGACCCAGCCAGAUGGGCAGGGUACAAAUAAAUUAUUAUUAUUAUUAUUAUCAUCAUCAUUAUUAUCAUUAUUAUCAUCAUCUUGCCUUGCAUGAAGGCUGUGCAGUUUUAAAAGCUGCCAACUUCUUGCAAACCACACUUCACCAGUUCGCAGGCAGGUUCAGUCUGAUACGGACAGGGGACCUUCCCAUCCACGGUUGCACUGUUUGUUUGUUUAUACCCCACUUGAAUGUUUGAAAACAACAACCACCUCGAAACUGUUUGCAAAGAAGUUAAAAACAAUAAAAUCAAUGUUAAAAUUGUGGUGAUAGUUUAAAACGUAAAGGUAAAAGGACCCCUGACCAUUAGGUCCAAUCGUGGCCGACUCUGGGGUUGCGGCGCUCAUCUCACUUUACUGGCCGAGGGAGCCGGCGUACAGCUUCCGGGUCAUGUGGCCAGCAUGACUAAGCUUCUUCUGGCA